Bombus huntii is the source of this 11261-nucleotide long non-coding RNA. RefSeq lists it as uncharacterized. The record is from RefSeq and is a predicted model, not a curated record. The transcript has 10 exons. Lineage: Eukaryota; Metazoa; Arthropoda; Insecta; Hymenoptera; Apidae.
AGGAGCCCGGGAAUCUUUUGUGCGUCGUCGUCGACUGCUAAGCAACUAUCAUCAAUUAUCCUCCGACAUUGGCAGCGCGCGGCUCGUGGCACAUCUCGAGCUGUUCUCGAUAGAGCCUCGAAGAGCUGGGAGAGACGACGCUCUUUCUAUCCUUCGAGACUCACGAGCGUUCACCUCACGCCGACACGAGAGAACCGGAGUGGGCCGGCUCGCGACGGUACAGAUUCUCUCGACACAAUGCCCAUUCCUGCCGUGAAAUUGUCUUAAUUGUGAUUAAAGUUUUUGUCAGUCGACGCCGGAUGUUCCUGUGUAUGCACGAGGAUAGAGAAAGAACUAGGUUUCUCCCGAGACACGAACAAAGCCCGCGACACUCUAGAUUCUUAUCGAAUACUGGAUUUCCUACGUAUACUUCGUUCUCGUAUUAGCACGGCGAAGAAAAGGGAGGAGAGAAUCGUCGAGCAGAAAAAUAACGAAACGUGUCUUGCGUACGUUACAAGAGGAAGCAACACAUCUCGCGUACAAAUUGAUGCGACAAUCUUCAUGCCGUUCCGAUAAUGAGCGACUGGAUAAAGCACCAUUCACUUCUAAAGGAACAGUAUGUAUUUUUCUACUCAAACGUUCCCAAGAUUUCACUAUUUUCUGAUAGAGAAAAACAUAACCAUGAUUUGACCUCGUAACACGUUUUUAUAAAACACCUCUCUAUUCCCGUAUCUGAUAUUACAUUCAUUUUACGAUAAUUUUCCGUAUACAAAGAAUUCGCGUUUUCUCUAGCCGUCACGAAAAAUAAAUGAACGCGAUCCAUGCAUUAACAGAGAAAUGCAGAACAGCGAAAGCUGAUAAUCUUCGAAUCGGCGCAAUUCGAUCUCUUGCAUAAUUCAUUAUAAUGUCCCGAUUGUAAUUGCGUCCGGCCAUGCACGCCACCAAUACUAUCGACACGCACGGUAUGAUCGAUAAACAUCAAAGCCAGUGUUCACUCGGUCGAUCGAAAUCGCCGCUGCGCGUAUUCGUUGAUUUAUACGAAACCACGGUACGGCAUCCGAUUCAACACAUAUAUAUAAUCACGUGUCGGGGGAUAAACUUAACCUUGAAAUCCUUCGUUUUUGCAGGAAAGAUGCACGCCUGUACACAGGCGAAAAUGAAUCAGUUGCACGCAGUGUCACGAGAAAUGUCGUCAGACCAGAAUACAAGGAAGCGACUGUCAUGAUUUAAUCGACGAACCAAUGAGACUUUUUGUCGUCCUCGAAGGAUAUAAACACUCUCGAAACUACGCUCUGUACGAGAGGUAACUCCAAAGGAAAAUCACACAAGACUACGAUGGCAACGUUCGACAAUUAGGACGCUUGCAAUCACUGAGAUUCCGUCGAAAGUUUUUGUUGGUAUUGAUACAGCAGGAUGCACGAGGAUUUUGAACGAACGACGCGCGUCAAAACACCCGUAUGCCUGACGGCUCUCGCUGCCGAGAUAUAACUGACACGACACACGCAACUACCUACUCUCGCGCUCGAACCGUGGAACGAUGAAACGGAACGUUCGGAACGCCGGAACUACGGAACGAUAUAUACCUGAAUCGCGUUUCAGCGCAACUUUAGGCGUGUCUUUAACCACCCGACACCACGUUUAAUGGAAAUAGAGGGUGUGCUCCUGAGGUCUAUGUCCCUGAAAUCUCGAGUUCGCUGAACUCUGGAAUAUUUCCAUUUCGAAGAAGAUGCCAGGCACCAUGGUUGGUAACACGCCAUAAAGACACCACUAACAGCUGUUUGUCACGCAAAAAAGAAGAAACAAAAAAGAAAUCAUUCAUGGUAAUACUGACAUCUGCCGAGGCAUAUAGGCGAUACGCGCGAGAACGAAACGGCAGAAGAACGUAUAUAACGGCGAAGGGCGAAAAGAAAUAUGGAGAACUGCUCGGAGAGCUGGUAGACGGCGCAUAAAAAAUGCCAAAUGUUUCGGGAUGUAGGAGGCAACGCGAACCUCGUCGACGCCAUUAACUCUUGAAUUUUUAAUACGUGAACGUGCAGCCCUUGCGUAUCAUGAAUUCUGCCUUGAAACACGGCGACAUGCUUGAAACAUCGAACAUCGAACGUCGAGCCACGCGUUUGUUCGAUCGUCGACUGAAAAGGGAACCGCUUACGACGAAGAAACACACCCCAGCAAAAUGGUUCUCUUUCGCGAUUAGCGCCGGUGUCACGGCACUUCCGCUGUGUCUGUACCUCGCGCCACAUCCUAUCGCCUUUUACUUCUUCCCUUCUUUAAUAUUCAGCCACCGUUCUCGUAACCUACGUCGUGCCGCCACGCCGCCAGACACACGUAAAUACGCGUACCUCACAAAUAUAGCGCGCAUGUGUGCAACGUGUUAUCCUCUGUGCGUGUCACUAUGCGCCUGUUCGCAGCAUAUGCAUACAAGCGUGCAUUCUCUGCGAGACAAUGGGCGUGCCCACCUCACGUGACUGGCACGUGAGCACCCUUAAAAAGGGCCCUCGGUUCCUGACGUUCAUUCAUACUGGUCUGCCUGUUUCGUGGUCGACACUGAUGACCCUACACCGCGCGUCGGAAAGUCAAGAAGAAUCGAACGACAGAAAGAGCAGAAAACCGCUGUUUAACCGUGUACCAUUCAGAGACGGUUUUCGUGAGUCUUGCAGGUGCGCGGACGAUUACACCGUGCAAACUAUGCGUCACCGUAACAAUGUCCUUUGCUCGACAGCUUCAACCGCUGCCCGACAGGAGUACCCUGCCGGGACAGGAGAAUAAUCCGUGGAACGAAUGCAGUGAACUUGUUACUUAAAUAAGCCGUGAAAGAUGGAGUGUGUUUGAAUAAAGGUAAAUAAACGCGUCUUGUGCACCGAGUACAAUGACCUUUCGUACUUCUGAAUUCGUAUUUAUUCAACCAUUUAAGCUCUUUAUAUUAUACAAUGUAUGUACACAAAUAUUAUAAAUGAGAAGACGACCGACUACAGGAUUCUUCGAUCUACGAAAUGCGGCGUAAUAAAAGCGAGCAAGUGAACGGCAAUGUCAAUGGUUUCACGACUAUUCUUGGAUCUCUUCCAAUAGCGCUAUCGUGCUCGGAAUCGAUAAAGGAACUAACGUUUAUUAUUUCGCAAGCAACCCCUCCCGUGUGAACGCGCUCGACCCUCACAAAUCGUAAUUGCCGGGCAACGAACAGGCAUGUCUAGCUGCUCUAUGAGAUAGCUUGCCUCUGAGUCACUCCCCCGCGGUGCGUUUAAACUUUGAACGCUUUCUGCACGUCGGACCGACACGUUACACUGCGCAAUAAUUGUAACGACUCUUGGCUUCGUUCAUGAAUCGACCGCUUCGGGCUGGCAACUGUUUCAUGCGUGUUCCAAUGUAUACGCGGAAAAUCAGGCUGAAUAGUUGCUUUGGAAAGCGAAACGCCAGUGUUUGAUAAUGCAAAUUCUUGUUCCAAUUUAUACGUUUUUAUAAAGAUUUCUUUUUCAUGUUGGCUUUAUAUCGCAUCGACACCUCGAUCAUUAGCGACAGAUAGAGAUUAUUCUUUUGCCAAUCUCUUCUGUUGCAAAAAUCAGACGAAUCUACCUCGAUAAAUUUUCCACACUUUCUUAGGUAAGUAGUCACUUUUCUUCGAGAAAGUUACGCGAACCACUACGUAGAUGGUAAUCUGCGGAAAAAAGUUCUGAUGAGUAGAAGGAACAAGGAACCAUCUACUGGUUGGAUUGCUGCAAUUUUUUGCACAUUCAAGUCGUUGCAAUCUAAUUUACAUUAACAUAGAACAGAAUUGGCUUUUCCCAAGUGAGCAAAAUUUUCAUCGCGUGCAAGAGGCAGACACGCCAUACGAACAAACGGACAGCGAAACUUUCAGCUCGCAGCUAGAUUUAAAACUGAAAUUCAACAGGUGGACCAUGCAAAUAUUUGUCGGAAACGAGGCAUUCGUAUAAUAUCACUCAUCAAUAGUGUUGCCCCGGGCAUUAUCAUCUACGUACAGAAAAAAGGGAUUCCUUCGUCGUGGAGAAAAUUGGCAGCUCCGUAACGUCUUCUUUUGUCGAUAACAUCCAGAUCGAUGAUGAUUAGAAUUUUUAUGUCAUCGGACGAAACUGUAAGGGCAAGCAUCCUAAACAUGUGGAAGGAAGCGUAGUUUAAAAGUUGAGCCGACAGAUCUGGCGAACGCUUUCAAGAUCAAAGAAUGGAUCUAAAAAGGAUUAAGCAUCCUAAGGCUCCUUGCCUCGAAGUAAAGCUGACUCAUAAGAAUCCUCGCUUCCAAAUCUGAUUGCGAAAAAUUAACUAACAACAGACAACGGCCAAACGUAUCAAAUCCCGUCAAAGAUGAAGCGGCCUGUAUGCAACGAAACAGAAUUUUCAUGGAGAAUUUUUUCCGCGUUGCGAGCUCUUCGCACAAGCCACGUCGUAAAAGAGAACGUGGAUUCGUUGCAGCUUCGAACGAUCGAUGCAAACGCGUGCGAAACGUUCGAUAUACCACGGCGAACGAACGGAGAACAUUGCACCACGAGGUUCACCUUGAAAGAAGUCAUCCUAGACUUUUUCCCUGAUUCGCACCUCCGGAAUAUCGAGGACGGAGGCGUCCGCUCGAAAAACCCGCUCGCCGCGUGGGUAACACGCAAGAAAAUCCGCGAAUGGUGGCGCAAUCGAAUAAAAGCUUAAUGUCUCUGUCCUUGCGGAACUUCGAAGAACGACGCCACACCCUCAUCGCCGUCGUCCGCUUCUUUCACAGCAUACACGCAAGAUGUUCGUCGCCUUAAUAAAGAUGUAACGUAUACAUAGGCUCCUGAAAGUAUUCCAACACUUGCAGGCACCUUUUAUGAAUAUAUUAUAUUAUGUGUAUCGUACAAAUCGUUUCGAAAUGCUAUUAGCGCUGUAGCGAGAUCCGGCUAUCUAUUGUACAUGUAUAUAUUAAUGAAAUUUCAGAACGUUUUACCUAACAUACACGAUAUAUGCAUAAGUGUUCUCUACGGUAAAUGUUCAAAUAUUUUCGUAAAUCAUUGUAUAACAACCGAUUAUGGCGAUGCUCGUGGGUGCGAUUAUGUUUCACGCACGUCGGCCACGAAUCCAUUUAAUUUUGCACGGCGCGACGCGGCGGUUCACCAGCGUCGCUUCUUAUAUGGAUCGACCUGUCGAAAGGCAAACAACUGAUAUGGGUCCACAACCUAUCCCGAAUCUCGCAUUAAUAAUUCAGAGCAUUCCUUGGCCGGAUCUUGGUUCGCUUGCAGGGUGUGGGACGUCGCGUCAGCGGUGAAGAAUGGUAUACGAUAAGAUUAAGCCCUAAAGACAUCCGUGGUAGAAAAUGAAGUUGUGACUCGAGUAAUUAUUCACAUUUCCUUCAAACUCAAAAAAUUUUCCAACGAUAGAAAAAUAGAAUUUUAUGAUCGAAACCAUCUCCCAUCGAAUGCAGAAAGUUUGAAGUAGAGUAUCAAGGAUAAAAUGUUAAGUAAAAAUAGCAGAGAAGAUAAAAGGAAAGAGGAAGUCAUCGACAGAUGGCAGACGGUCGCAAUUAUCUAUUAACACAUACGGUAUAUUACUCAACAAAUGUGAUUGGCGGAUAGUUCAGGUUCUAACUAAAAGUACCAGAUGCUCUCGAUUAUACGUUCGCAGGUUCGCGGAUAUCGAUGCAUAUUGACGACGAAAUUAAGCGAUAACCGGUUUUCUCCGAGUCUAAUUAUGGGUUUACAGCAUAUCGAAGGCAAGGAACACAAAGAGUAAAUUAACUCAGAACGGAUGUGAGCCUCACCAUAAUCGAACUUAGACAAUAGGUAUGACUACCACGCUCUUUGGCGCAGGGAGCAUAGUGAAAUACGCGGAUAUUUCUCCGAAUAGCACGGAGCCUGGUUCGAAAAGAUGCUGCUACGCCUCACGGAAGAAACUAAAUCCAAUUUAAUGAUCCUUAAUGAUCAAUGUACGAUAGAAAGGUGCGAACUAAUCGCGAAAAAAUUGUCUUAUUGCAAGAUACGAAGCAAGAAACUUGAAAGAACGUUCCAAGUUAAUUAAAUGACAAUUCCAUGUUGGUAAAGUGAUUUCAAAUUCCUCGAACUCGAGUAGUAGCUUCGAUUCAAGUAACUUAACUAAUCCAAACGAGACUCUAGAUAUUUACUUGAAGUCGGGUUAUUUAAAUUGAAACGAUCGAUGUAACUUGUACGAGGAUAAAGUCAAAGUUACCAAUUUGAACGAAGCUUACACGUCACUCCCAAAGUAUCGAGUGUUUCGCGUACUUGAUACCUUCGUCCGAUGCUUCUGCGGUAGCUGAAUGAAUUCCACGCUGUGUAAUGAAAGAGCAUUGUUUGUCAGAAUAUAAUAGCCCGAAGGAAACGCGUGCUUCCAACAGCUGACGCGAUCCUGCGUGGCAGCCUUGCGUAAUUCGAAUUACGUAAUGACAACCGCGCCGAUGACGGAGCCAUGGUUCGCCGUCAUCGGCUUUGUCCUGAGCUAAAUAUCGAUCACUGUCCCGCGUAUGUGCGGUUAUUAUCGCGCGUGUCUCUCGUUACGCGAUUUCCAGCCGACUCUUGGCUCCGCUCCGACUUUCCGCCCUGAAGAAAAGAUAUCCUGCCGCGGAGUCAACGAUCGUUACGGAAGAUCGUAAACUGUCGCCGUUCAUUGUGCAAUAAAACUUGAGCAUUCGCAACACUCCUCCGUCCAUCCACGUCUUUACGUUCGUUCGCGCGGAUCAACCUUCCGACCGAUACAGAAGGGGAUUAAGAUUCAUAAUUAUUCGAUUAAUUUCAUAAUCGAUUGAGCUAUAACUUCAAAUAAUACAUUGAACUUUUCUGUAAUAAUUAGAGUGCAGACGUUCGCGCGUUUAUGGAAAUUUCAAGAUGCAAAAAUGCACAGAAUGCUUCGAGCGUGCAAUAAAUAUGUAAAAUAUCCAAAGCAGUUUCUAAUAAUAACGAACGCGAAUGUUAAAAGUUACUUUAGCUUCUAUUUUAUUUAACUGUCUACUUUUAUCGCGUUCUUGGCAAUUGUUAACGGCGUUGUUUGGAUUGUAUAAGGACGAACAUAGAUGAUCAUCAAGGAGGUAAUUUAUUGAGGUAGAACUUUCAGGGUGCACGAUAUUCUAUAGACGAACAAUAUCGAUCGUACAAUUAUACUACAAGAAACGAUAUAAGUUUUCUUAACUUUAUCCUUCAAAGUUGAGGUUCAAAUAAAACCACUUUCAUUAAUGAAUUUACGUUGCAAGCAGCAUGAAAAUCAAUUCUUGGAAGACACGCGAGGAUCAUAUUUUGUAUGUAUGUACAGUAAAAGGGACGGAAAAAGGUGGAAAGCGAAACGAUUAUAAUUGAAAAAAAUACGACAGUGAGAGGACAGAGUGUUUCACCAAUUUCUUUAUAUGUCCUUGCAUACGUGUACGUGCAAUAUACGUGUUCGUGAAUGGGCGUGUAUUUUGCAACUGAACGAACGCCGGGAAAUAGAGUAAGGGAACUGUGUCUGUCCAUGGUCACGCUUCGUGGAUGCAGUCAUUCACGCGGCCAAUCGUCGCAAUGGACUAACAACAUCCUGCAAUUAAAGUACUUGUUCUGAUAUAGUUCCACGACAUGUGGAGCAGAGAUCGAAAGACGACGGCCGACGAAUUUCGGUGAAAUCAUUCUCAGUCGCCUAUAACUGAUUGCCUUUCCCCGCAAAUUCAUAAAUCAACGUUAUGCGCUCUGUACGUAAGACAUACUUAACGAGCUCGAAUGGCAAAAUAGGAAAAGCUUCGCUACAACACGAUAACAAUCGUUAAUGUACAAGGAGUUAAAAUAGAAAGCGUAUUGCUCUUUAUUUUAAAUCUAAACACCUAUCGAUUAGUAUUCAUUGUACCUGUGCAAAGAAAUUCAAUUUUCCCAUGAACAAAAGUUUUCCUCUGUAAAAGAAAGUAACUCUAGACUUUCGACCAACUUUCAUACCAAGAAUUACCCCGUUUGCGAGGGUUACCUCGUUACCGACACACCCUGUGGUUUAAAAGGUUUCGCUCGUUAACCUGUGAUCUCCGUGAAUAAACGCGUCGUGCAACAAAGCCGUACGAUCCGUCGAUUUAAACAACGGUAGACGUUUCUCAGGACAAUACGCGUUUUGUAGAUCAUGGAGAACAAAACGGGCGUGCUUAAUAUGCUCCGCGUCUUAUCAUGGAAUCGCACGCGAGGCGGUCUCUUCGUCACGCAAAACGACGCUCGUAAAGAGAUCUUGGAAAACACAUAUACGUGUCUACGUUCGAUGCUGCCGCCAGCGUUUCCUAUUUAUUCAUUCAAUAUCUUCGAAUGUAUAUACAAACGCUUGUAGUUGUACGAUUAUAUUAUACUCGCGUCGAGAAUCCAGUCAGGCUACCAUCGACCGAUAUCACGCGAUCCUUGAUAUUUUAAUUAGGGAAUUAGUUAUGUGAUCUGACGUAAAACGAAGUGACUCAACAUUGGGCAUCAUUUCAAAUGAUUUCAGAGUUAUAUUUACUUUAAGCAAGAUAUCUAAACAUCGAAAAUCUUUUUUAAUUUUCGAAUGAUUUCGUGCGAUGGCUUUCACUCUUUUCUCUUUUUCAUUCGUAAUAGAGAAACUUGUUAAAAAAUACUACCCUUGUCCAGAUAUCGAAUCGAACGAAUUAUUGAAAAAUAUAUAUCUAUCAAUCAUCAUUGUUACAAUUUUAUUCUGAACUUCUGCGGCAAAGUAAAGAUCAAGAUACUUAUCCACGCUUUUCGAUUAACUAAUAAGCUAGGUCACUAUCUUCAAUCGGUAAGCGAAAGUCUAUUUCACGUUAUAGAAUUGAAAAUUCUGGAAAAUAUAUAGAAACGCAAUGGAAGAAUACACAAGUUGAUUGCCAGUCUAAAAUAUCGCAGCGUAUAUUUUAUUCAUUCAUCGUCCCCGCCGCUGUCUCGAACGUUUCGUUUGUUCAUUGAAUUCUAACGUUCGAUUCACGUUGCAUACGGGCGGAGAGCAGCACAUGGAUUCCCACAGCGACGAACGCGGUUAGGUCAUCAUUGUCCAUGGUCAUGGGCCGUCUAGGUGGUCCUCGUGAAAAGGAAACUGCAUAAUAUAUGCACACGCGUUUUAUUGCGGCACGCGGGCAAACGCAUAAAGGAAAGGCAACCGCAUUAUGCGCGACACGAGUUCACCGACACGCUGGUUUAUCUUAUGCGCUGUGAUGGAAUCAGACAUGACGCAAGUGGUGCCAGGACAAUUUUUCGUUUAUUUUCUUUUCUCUUCUGCGUUCGAAACACCUUACAAAAAUUAAACCUCUCGAUUAAACAAUUCUUUUAAAUGACAUCUUUUUUUACAACUAUUUUACAAUAAACGGAGAGAUUCGUCUCCAUAGAAUUAACAGUAAACUUGAUGUUAUAUCGUAUAUAUUCGAUAUUAUAAUAAUUUUCAUAUAUUUAACAAUGGCUUCGCGAUGCAAAUCUUCGAGACUUUGCAUCGAAAUCGAUUUCAUAAGAUUGAGAUAUCUGAUCUAGACUGGUCGCACGAUGUCGUUGGACCAAAAUGUAUUCUCGCACCGAUAUGAAUUUUCAGGUGGUUAGUAAGCUCUUCUGCGUAGAAACCACCGAUAUAUACCAUCGUGUAAAAGAAGGACCGUGGGAGGCGAAGAGAGUGCAUUCGCGUGGGCCUGUAUCCUGUGCCACGUCCAUUUGUCCCCGUGUCCGUUUCGUUUGUCGACAGUAGUAUGUAUGCGCUGUCGAGAUUAUCUUUUGGUGGAAAACGAGUCACCGUAAAUCGUAUAGCGCGUUACGGUCUUUCGUCUUUUAUAGUAAGCCUAGCAGAAGGAUAAACCGCCCCUGCUGAGAAAAGAUUAAUUAAACGUAUCAUCGCGUGUUUAACAUUUUACUUUGCAUUAUCCUAAUUAUUACGUAUGGAAUAUGUAACGUAGAUAUUAGAAGAAUCAAAAUUCAUGUACAUAAGGAAGAGUAAUGAUACUUCACUUACUUUACAUAUUUAUUUCUUUCUCUCUCAAGGUACUGUUAUCAGUUUGAGGCAGGUAUACAACAGGGUUAACACUCGCUACCAGCAAAUAUGCCAACGUUAGGCGAAUCGUUUGCACGCACGAAAUUAUAUACACGUAUUGUUACAUCCGCUUUCAUUCGACAUUCCUUUGAAAGAGAGAUUAUUAUUACGUCCUACGGACGCAUCAGGAAUACAAAUGAAAGGCGUGAACUAUCGAGUGGGUAAAAAAAGGGAAAUUAGCAUAAUGUCUCGAAUCAUAAAUUACACGUGUAUUGUCAAAAAUUGAUCGCAGAAGUAGAUAUUAUCUUUUAUAUAUAUAUAUAUAUCUUAGAAAUUAGUACAACUCUAGAUUAAUUAACAAUAUAUAGUUGUAUUUUUCCUCACUUGUUAUCACUCGCUUUUAAUGUAGUAAUUGUAAAUACAAAAGAAUUCACUUCUUAUGAACCGUAGACUAUCGCGUGUUCUAUAAAUGUACCCUGAUAAACGAGACGAUAUAAUACGUAUAUAUGUACAGGGUUAACGACCGCAGGGGGUGCAGUUGGGUGCGGCUUUUCCUAAUAUCGUUAAAGGUGAGAGCAAACGUUUCACCGAUUAUUUACAGGAUACAAAGCAAAUAACGGUUGUGUUAGAACGUUUAUACGCGUUCCUCGGAGUAAUAGGUAUGAUGUGUAUAAUGAAUAAUUGAAUUUCUAACAAAUAUCGAAACGAUAAUUCAUGGACGGAAAUAAUGUGCGCAAGUAUCGUCGAAGAUAAAAUGUUUAUUAUAGAGAACAUGCUACACCACUUUUUCUUUGGGAUAUUGUACGAUAGUGCUCCGAUUUGAAUAGCACAAAAUUAGCAACUGCUCAUUUACAAUUGUAUAUACUAUUGUAUAUACAAUUUUACAAGGAUUUUACAAUGUCAAUUUCUCUUGAUAUUGGAUUGAUAGGAAAUUGUCGUUUUGUGGAUGCUCGAUCAAAAAACUAUACAAUAGUUUGAUCUGUCAACAAAACGCAAAAAACCUCAAUUGUUUAAAAGUUUUGUCCUUGUUUACAAACAUACGUACUAUUUUCUUAUUAGUAUAUUCAUGUUUUGCUAUAAUGGUUACGAUCAACGUGGAAAAAAGGUGUAUUCUAAAAAUUCUAUGUUUUGAAGAGAAUGUAAUUAAUAAAAGAGAAAUAAAAAAUUAUUAUAAUUAUAAUAAUUAUAAGAUUACAUUUAACUUCAAAUUACUUUAUGUCAUUCAUACUUUAUCUUAUAUCCGCAAAACACUUGAUCUUAUAAUCAUAAUCGUUAACAGUAUAUCAUUAAUAUUCAUUCUACUUAUUCACAGAAAAACCGUGUAUUAUUACUAUAAAAUACUCAUAUACAAUCACAAAUGUAACAUCUCUCAAGUCAAUGAAAAA